Molecule: ribosomal RNA, 301 nt
Filed under: uncultured bacterium
Lineage: Bacteria
Description: partial 16S ribosomal RNA
Rfam family: Bacterial small subunit ribosomal RNA
Source: RNAcentral
CAGCAGCCGCGGUAAUACGGAGGGGGCUAGCGUUGUUCGGAAUUACUGGGCGUAAAGCGCACGUAGGCGGCUUGGUAAGUUAGAGGUGAAAGCCCGGAGCUCAACUCCGGAAUUGCCUUUAAGACUGCCGAGCUAGCAGGUGAGAGAGGUAAGUGGAAUUCCGAGUGUAGAGGUGAAAUUCGUAGAGAUCUGGAGGAAUACCGAUGGCGAAGGCAGCCAUCUGGCCUAAUACUGACGCUGAGGUACGAAAGCAUGGGGAGCAAACAGGAUUAGAUACCCCCGUAGUCCCUGUCUCUUAUAC